This 279-nucleotide long non-coding RNA is filed under the name Triticum aestivum (bread wheat). RNAcentral's name for it is "long non-coding RNA (TAES_LNC014276)". Lineage: Eukaryota; Viridiplantae; Streptophyta; Magnoliopsida; Poales; Poaceae. The record is from RNAcentral.
UAAAUGGCGUAUAAGACGGACGAUGAAAUUCGAUUCAUCUUUAUCCUUAAUUUCAGAUUAAUUUAACAGGCAGUGCUGUAGUGUCAAUUAAUGGCAGGAAAACUGUUCCACAGUUCUGUUCCCUGUCUUAGGGGAUUGGUUGGCGCCAAUAGCACUUACAAAUGACAACAGCUAUGGCCAUCCUUAUAUUGUGAAAGUUCUGCAUGGAACUUAAACUACUGAACUGCCUUGGUGAGCUGGAAUCGUGUGGUGCUGGUCGUGUCUCAAACCAAAUGUAUC